AUCCUGGCUCAGAUUGAACGCUGGCGGCAGGCCUAACACAUGCAAGUCGAGCGGUAGAGAGGUGCUUGCAUCUCUUGAGAGCGGCGGACGGGUGAGUAAUGCCUAGGAAUCUGCCUGGUGGUGGGGGAUAACGUUCGGAAACGGACGCUAAUACCGCAUACGUCCUACGGGAGAAAGCGGGGGAUCUUCGGACCUCGCGCCAUUAGAUGAGCCUAGGUCGGAUUAGCUAGUUGGUGAGGUAAUGGCUCACCAAGGCGACGAUCCGUAACUGGUCUGAGAGGAUGAUCAGUCACACUGGAACUGAGACACGGUCCAGACUCCUACGGGAGGCAGCAGUGGGGAAUAUUGGACAAUGGGCGAAAGCCUGAUCCAGCCAUGCCGCGUGUGUGAAGAAGGUCUUCGGAUUGUAAAGCACUUUAAGUUGGGAGGAAGGGUAGUAACCUAAUACGUUGCUACUUUGACGUUACCGACAGAAUAAGCACCGGCUAACUUCGUG
RNAcentral lists this ribosomal RNA (496 nucleotides) under uncultured bacterium. RNAcentral describes it as "bacterial SSU rRNA". It matches the Rfam family "Bacterial small subunit ribosomal RNA", at positions 16 to 507 of the family's 1533-position model. The record is from RNAcentral.